CGAUAGGGUCCCAUACAAUGUAUACUUGUGAAUCGUGUCAGGUCUUGACGGAAGCAGCACUAAGCAAGUUCAUGCGUGUGUUAUGGGGGUGCCUUAUCUGAGU
RNAcentral lists this signal recognition particle RNA (103 nucleotides) under Peptoniphilus indolicus ATCC 29427. RNAcentral describes it as "Bacterial signal recognition particle RNA". It matches the Rfam family "Bacterial small signal recognition particle RNA". From Rfam's summary of the family: The signal recognition particle (SRP) is a universally conserved ribonucleoprotein involved in the co-translational targeting of proteins to membranes. Archaeal SRP consists of a 7S RNA and homologues of the eukaryotic SRP19 and SRP54 proteins. Lineage: Bacteria; Bacillati; Bacillota; Tissierellia; Tissierellales; Peptoniphilaceae. The record is from RNAcentral.